RNAcentral lists this small RNA (1178 nucleotides) under Pan troglodytes (chimpanzee). Its description in RNAcentral is "processed transcript". The record is from RNAcentral. Lineage: Eukaryota; Metazoa; Chordata; Mammalia; Primates; Hominidae.
CAUUUAACAGAAGAGAAACCUGAUGGCCUUAUCAAUGAAGCUACUAGGCAAGUUGCUUUGGCAGAUAUCAUUCUCAUUAAUAAAACAGACUUGGUUCCAGAAGAAGAUGUAAAGAAAUUAAGAACGACAAUUAGAUCCAUAAAUGGACUAGGACAAAUCUUAGAAACACAAAGAUCAAGGCUCAGCAGCUAAUAGACUCAGCGACUCAGCAACAGGCAGCCAGGAGCUCUGAGGCUCACAGCUGGCAGUCUAGUUCCACUCAGUCUCUACUUGAGAAAUUCUUUCUUUGGAAGUACAGCAGAGGCCUUAGCCACUCAUCUGCUGGCAGAGGUAGCAGAAGAAUGCCCUUAGUAACAAUAAACAUGCAGUGAUUGAUUUUUCUUACUUCAAGUGGAUGAGUGAGCAAGUGACUAAAAUCUUCUGUGAGUUCUUCAGUAAUCUCACUCUGGUUUGAGACAGAAUCUCACUCUGUCCCCCAAGUUGGAGUGCGGUGGUGCGAUCUCGGCUCACUGAAACCUCUGCCUCCUGGGUUCAAGCGAUUCUCCUGCUUCACCCUCCGGGUAGCUGGGAUUACAGGUGUGCACCACCACACCCAGCUAAUUUUUGUAUUUUUAGUAGAGACGGUUUCGCCACAUUGGCCAGAGUUGAUCUCUCUAAUGUAUUAGAUCUUCAUGCCUUUGAUAGUCUCUCUGGAAUAAGUUUGCAGAAAAAACUUAAGCAUGUGCCAGGAACACAACCUCACCUUGAUCAGAGUAUUGUUACAAUCACAUUUGAAGUACCAGGAAAUGCAAAGGAAGAACAUCUUAAUAUGUUUAUUCAGAAUCUCCUGUGGGAAAAGAAUGUGAGAAACAAGGACAAUCACUGCAUGGAGGUCAUAAGGCUGAAGGGAUUGGUGUCAAUCAAAGACAAAUCACAACAAGUGAUUGUCCAGGGUGUCCAUGAGCUCUAUGAUCUGGAGGAGACUCCAGUGAGCUGGAAGGAUGACACUGAGAGAACAAAUCGAUUGGUCCUCCUUGGCAGAAAUUUAGAUAAGGAUAUCCUUAAACAGCUGUUUAUAGCUACUGUGACAGAAACAGAAAAGCAGUGGACAACACAUUUCAAAGAAGAUCAAGUUUGUACGUAACACUAGAGGCAUUUCUUAUCAAAAGGAUUGGAUAAUAAAAAUAAGUUUCUACUGG